This 301-nucleotide ribosomal RNA is filed under the name uncultured Lactobacillus sp. RNAcentral describes it as "bacterial SSU rRNA". It matches the Rfam family "Bacterial small subunit ribosomal RNA", at positions 495 to 795 of the family's 1533-position model. Lineage: Bacteria; Bacillati; Bacillota; Bacilli; Lactobacillales; Lactobacillaceae. The record is from RNAcentral.
UGUUAAGCGAGGUGCGGUGGCCGGGGUAAGACGUAGCGGGCGUGCGUGUGCCGGAUUGAUUGGGCGUAAAGGGCGUGUGGGCGGCCUGGUAGGUCUGCUGUGAAAACUCGAGGCUCAACCUCGAGAUGUCGGCUGAAACCAUCUGGCUAGAGUCCGGAAGAGGAGAGUGGAAUUCCUGGUGUAGCGGUGAAAUGCGCAGAUAUCAGGAAGAACACCUAUGGCGAAGGCAGCUCUCUGGGACGGUACUGACGCUGAGACGCGAAAGCGUGGGGAGCGAACAGGAUUAGAUACCCGUGUAGUC